AAUUUUUUUUUUUACUUACCUAUUCUAUUCACGUAUUUAAUUAUGUUCUGAUAAAAAGAAGUACAUUUAAUCUGUAAUAUAUAUACACAUACAUAUAUAUAUUGAUUCUUUUUUUAUGUUCUUUUAUUUUUUCUAUUAAUUUAUAAAGUAAAUAAUUUUUAGUUUUUGAUAUAUUUAUUUUAAAUCACAUUUUUAAUUUUUCAUUUUUUUUUUUAAGUACAUAUUUCUGCUUUAAAUUCAUAUAUUUUUCUUUUUUUUUUCUCUGCAUAAAUAUAUAUUUAUAUCUAUAUUUAUAUCUAUCUAUCUAUCUAUCUAUCUAUAUAUAUAUGUAUGUUUGUAUUUUUUUUUUUUUUUAUAGUAAAAAUAUUCAUACUAUUAAAUCUUUUUAUAAAUAUAGUCAUAACACAUUAGUUUAAUUUAUGUAUAGUGAUACGCAAUUACUUGUACAUACAAAGUUUUAUGUACGCGCUUUCUUAUUAAAUCAUUUAUAUGUAUAAAUAAUAAUAUAAUUGUAUGUUAUUAUAUGUGUACGUAAUUAUAUGCAUAUAUGUUAGUGUAUAUAUAUAUAUAUAUAUAUGUCAUUAGGGUAGUACAUUAUUUUAAUUAGAUACAUAAAUAUAUACAUGUACAGAUAGAUAUAUAACUACAUAUUGCACAUCUUUUGUAAAAAACAAAAAAUUUGUAACAAAAAUGUUAUACAAAACACAACUUUGUUCAUUCUAUGCAAAAGGAAUAUGUGCAAGAGGCAACAGAUGCAGUUGGGCUCAUGGGGAGUUGGAUGUUAGGCCUAUGCCUAAAUUUUACAAGACUAGGAUGUGUUAUACGUUUUUAUCUGGUAGUUACUGUGAAGCUUCUAAAUGUACGUUCGCACACACAGAAGAAGAAUUAAGAGGUUCAGGAAAAGCUUUGAGAUUAUGUACAAAGUAUUUUUUAGAUGGCUACUGCAAUAAAGCUGACAAAUGUCCUAUGGCUCAUAACAUAAAUCAACUAGACCCAUCAGUAAAAUUUUCAUCAAGUGAAUUAAUGAAUAAGGUUUAUUCUAAUGAGGAUAAUGUAUAUUAUAAUAAUAAUAAUAACCUUGACUUGCCAAAGAAUGAUAAUAAGGAAACUGAAGGAAAUGGUCGUAAAAACAGUAGUAGAAGCAGUAGUACACAUAACAAUAAUUACAACAUCCAUGGAGGAACUAAUAAUAAUAUAAGUCAUAAUAUCCAUAACUAUCACAAUAAUAAUAGUAGUAAUAAUGCAGUUUUUGAAAUUACGAACGAGUUAGAUGACGUUAAUGUAAAAAAGCAUUUAAAAGAUUACCAUAUUAUGAACAAUUUUAAUAAUAGUGAAAAUGACAAAAACGAUAUUGAUGAUCCAAAAAAGAAUAGUUAUAAGAUUUAUAGAAAUUGUGAGAAAAAAAUGUAUAAAGAUUAUUUAUUGGAUGACAACCAGACAAAUGAUUACUUUGAUGAAAUAAAAAAAGGAAAUGGUAAUUCGUUUGUUACUCUUUUUGUGCAUCUGCUGUGCAUAUAAUGAUCAAUUUGUACGUAUUUUUACGUAUUUUUACGUAUUUGUACGUAUUUUUACGUAU
Piliocolobus tephrosceles (Ugandan red Colobus) is the source of this 1576-nucleotide long non-coding RNA. The record is from Ensembl. Lineage: Eukaryota; Metazoa; Chordata; Mammalia; Primates; Cercopithecidae.